GGGGCUGUAGCUCAGUGGUAGAGCGCUCGCCUAGCACAUGUGAGGCCCUGGGUUUGAUCCUCAGCACCA
This 69-nucleotide transfer RNA is filed under the name Ictidomys tridecemlineatus (thirteen-lined ground squirrel). RNAcentral's name for it is "Spermophilus tridecemlineatus (thirteen-lined ground squirrel) tRNA". It matches the Rfam family "tRNA". From Rfam's summary of the family: Transfer RNA (tRNA) molecules are approximately 80 nucleotides in length. Their secondary structure includes four short double-helical elements and three loops (D, anti-codon, and T loops). Further hydrogen bonds mediate the characteristic L-shaped molecular structure. tRNAs have two regions of fundamental functional importance: the anti-codon, which is responsible for specific mRNA codon recognition, and the 3' end, to which the tRNAs corresponding amino acid is attached (by aminoacyl-tRNA synthetases). tRNAs cope with the degeneracy of the genetic code in two manners: having more than one tRNA (with a specific anti-codon) for a particular amino acid; and 'wobble' base-pairing, i.e. permitting non-standard base-pairing at the 3rd anti-codon position. The record is from Rfam by way of RNAcentral. RNAcentral also lists the same sequence under 1 other name. Lineage: Eukaryota; Metazoa; Chordata; Mammalia; Rodentia; Sciuridae.